CCCUUAGAUGUCCUGGGCUGCACGCGCGCUACACUGAUGUGUCCAGUAAGCACCUAACCUCUUCCGAAAGGAACGGGUAACCUUUGCAAAGCACAUCGUGAUGGGGAUAGAUUAUUGCAAUUAUUAGUCUUGAACGAGGAAUUCCUAGUAAGCACAAGUCAUCAGCUUGUGUUGAUUACGUCCCUGCCCUUUGUACACACCGCCCGUCGCUCCUACCGAUUGAGUGGUCCGGUGAGGCUUUGGGAUCUGAGCAAAGAGAGCGUUUCGCUCGUUUUGCCCGGAAAACUCAGUCGAACCUUAUCAUUUAGAGGAAGGAGAAGUCGUAACA
This 328-nucleotide ribosomal RNA is filed under the name uncultured eukaryote. RNAcentral describes it as "partial 18S ribosomal RNA". It matches the Rfam family "Eukaryotic small subunit ribosomal RNA", at positions 1470 to 1796 of the family's 1831-position model. The record is from RNAcentral.